RNAcentral lists this long non-coding RNA (200 nucleotides) under Elaeis guineensis (African oil palm). RNAcentral describes it as "long non-coding RNA (EGUI_LNC065300)". The record is from RNAcentral. Lineage: Eukaryota; Viridiplantae; Streptophyta; Magnoliopsida; Arecales; Arecaceae.
CAUAGGCUUGAAAAUGCAGACCCACUAUUUCGCAUGCACGCCAGGCAAUGCAGAAAAGUGAGAUGAUCUCUGAUCAAAGUACCUUCGCAAGGCAACCAAAAGAGGGAGGAGAGGUGCUGGUGUGACCCCUCACACCAGCAAAGGGGAUGCCCAAGGAUGGGCCCAUGGCAAGGAAGAAGAGGGUGGCAACAAGGGGAGAC